GAUAGGUUGUCAAAGAAUGGAUUUAAUUAUUACAUGGGAUCUCUUAUUACAUUAAACGAACAAAACAAUAUUAGAAUUGAUUAAAACAACCUUAAACCUAGAGUAUUUGUAGCUGAAUUUAGGGUUUUGUGUCUAAAAAAAACAAUUUUCCCUAGAUUAUAUAUUUUGAAGUCGGCUAGAUAUUUUCUCGCUUUUGUUUUGUUUUUUUUUCUCUUUUAAACGAAUUAAUUUUGGACCAUUUUUUUUUUUGUAAACUGAUUUUGGACCAAACAUAGAACCACAAAACAGACAAAGUCGCUUUGGAACUAGUUAGGUCUGUGGAACCACAUUUCAGGUGAAUUUGACGUCUAGUAAAUAUUACUGAACAACAGAAUUUUGGAUAUAUUCGUAUAUAAAAAUAUCUUGAGUAAUAAAGACGACUCGUGACUGUCCUUGUGUUAAGAAAGUUUCUGUCUUUCGAAGUCUCUACCGUCAUUUACGGGUUCCCAUCUCACUUCCAAGAAGACUUUUUGUUUAACGUUUGUUUUUAGAAAAUACGAUUUAAACGACAAAUUAGAUAAAUUAUUUAGCGUAUCUGUUUUGUCAAAAUCUUAUGUUUAUACGUAAUUAAGAUAUAUAGAGGUGAAAUGGAAACUAAAA
Molecule: long non-coding RNA, 639 nt
Filed under: Brassica rapa (field mustard)
Lineage: Eukaryota; Viridiplantae; Streptophyta; Magnoliopsida; Brassicales; Brassicaceae
Description: long non-coding RNA (BRAP_LNC000958)
Source: RNAcentral